GAUGAACGCUGGCGGCGUGCCUAAUACAUGCAAGUCGAGCGAACGGACGAGAAGCUUGCUUCUCUGAUGUUAGCGGCGGACGGGUGAGUAACACGUGGAUAACCGACCUAUAAGACUGGGAUAACUUCGGGAAACCGGAUCUAAUACCGGAUAAUAUUUUGAACCGCAUGGUUCAAAAGUGAAAGACGGUCUUGCUGUCACUUAUAGAUGGAUCCGCGCUGCAUUAGCUAGUUGGUAAGGUAACGGCUUACCAAGGCAACGAUGCAUAGCCGACCUGAGAGGGUGAUCGGCCACACUGGAACUGAGACACGGUCCAGACUCCUACGGGAGGCAGCAGUAGGGAAUCUUCCGCAAUGGGCGAAAGCCUGACGGAGCAACGCCGCGUGAGUGAUGAAGGUCUUCGGAUCGUAAAACUCUGUUAUUAGGGAAGAACAUAUGUGUAAGUAACUGUGCACAUCUUGACGGUACCUAAUCAGAAAGCCACGGCUAACUACGUG
Molecule: ribosomal RNA, 497 nt
Filed under: uncultured bacterium
Lineage: Bacteria
Description: partial 16S ribosomal RNA
Rfam family: Bacterial small subunit ribosomal RNA
Source: RNAcentral